CCUACGGGAGGCAGCAGUGAGGAAUAUUGGACAAUGGACGAGAGUCUGAACCAGCCAAGUAGCGUGAAGGAUGACUGCCCUAUGGGUUGUAAACUUCUUUUAUAUGGGAAUAAAAUGUUCCACGUGUGGGAUUUUGUAUGUACCAUAUGAAUAAGGAUCGGCUAACGCCGUGCCAGCAGCCGCGGUAAUACGGAGGAUCCGAGCGUUAUCCGGAUUUAUUGGGUUUAAAGGGAGCGUAGGUGGAUUGUUAAGUCAGUUGUGAAAGUUUGCGGCUCAACCGUAAAAUUGCAGUUGAAACUGGCAGUCUUGAGUACAGUAGAGGUGGGCGGAAUUCGUGGUGUAGCGGUGAAAUGCUUAGAUAUCACGAAGAACUCCGAUUGCGAAGGCAGUUCACUGGACUGCAACUGACACUGAGGCUCGAAAGUGUGGGUAUCAAACAGGAUUAGAUACCCCUGUAGUC
This 460-nucleotide ribosomal RNA is filed under the name uncultured bacterium. RNAcentral's name for it is "partial 16S ribosomal RNA". It matches the Rfam family "Bacterial small subunit ribosomal RNA", at positions 338 to 795 of the family's 1533-position model. The record is from RNAcentral.